RNA transcript from Ictalurus punctatus (channel catfish), 1641 nucleotides. It is a transcript of the gene named piwi-like protein 1, with no coding region annotated. Lineage: Eukaryota; Metazoa; Chordata; Actinopteri; Siluriformes; Ictaluridae. The record is from RefSeq and is a predicted model, not a curated record. The transcript has 6 exons.
UAUUUAAAUUUUGGGUGACACAUAGAAUAACUUCAUAUCCUGUUCUUUGAUGAGCUGUCGUGUUGCAUGUGGAUCUAAUUCAAAAUAGAAGUGACCUGGUGUGAUGAGUGUAAGAUCAAUGUGUGAGAGCAAUUUUCCCAGUGAUCUGCACUAAGAGAGCAGCUCGAGCCAUGGCACGCAAACGUGCUGGCGAUCCUUGUGCCACCAAAUCCAAUGUUUUCGAUAAAUAAACUAAAGACCUGCAAGCGCCCCCAUACUCCUGAGCCGGGACCCCUGCAGCGGCGCCCCCUCUCUCAGAUGGUUAAUACAGGAUAGAAUAAAGCAGGACAGAAUAAUGAAAGCGCUCUGAAGUCCUUGUACGAAACCACUACUAUAUAUAUGAAACUCAGAGCAUGACAUCAUUCUGUGUACCGAUAAGAAGCAGUUUGAGGCAGUUCAAACAGGCUUUGUUUUAGGAUCUUAGAUGAUGUUUAGACGAACCUUGAACAGAAGAACAUGUUUGUGUCUCUGUAAGCAGAUAAACAUUCUGAUCUCAGUGACAUCACAUGGCCUUCUGAGUCGUUAUCCUCACAUGAGAAUGAAACAGAACAAGAACAAAACUAUUUCAAAGUAAAAAUUAAUAAUUUCCCUCACAGUGUAAUGAACAGAAUCUGCUGUUAGUCAAUAACUGGAAUCUGUUCUGGGAGUGUCCUAGGUUGUUUUGUCCUGAUGGCCUGCACCCCAGCAGCCUCGGAGUGGAACUGCUGUCUGACAACAUCUCCAAGACGCUACACACCAAGUGACUGUCUACCGUACGACUUCAUCGUGAGUCACAAAGUGCGCUUCAGCAGCGUGGCCCCCACUCACUACAACGUGGUGUACGACAGCAGUGUCCUCAAACCAGACCACAUGCAGAGACUCACCUACAAACUCUGCCACAUGUAUUACAACUGGCAGUCAAUAGUGCAACAAGGUAUCUGGACUAGAUGACCUCUAUCUGGCCUUUGAUUGGGCCUACUGCGUCUUCUGAUGGAGAUGUAAAACGAAGUGCGUGAGUUUAAAAGAUCCAUGUGUUCCUGUAGUUGUUGGCAGCUCAGCGGGCGAGACGUGCGGCUCUAAUCGCUUGGAUCAAUAGUCUAAGGCUGGAAGUUCAGUGCAUAGGCUGAGAAGGAGGACAGGGUAAAGGAAAUGCACCAUACCGUGGCGUAGGGCACGGCCAACAGGCUGCAGCUCCAGACCCGGCGGUGUUGAGAGCUCAGUGGAGGAUACGUUUGGCUCAGAUCAGGAGGAUCCUUAGGCUCUUGCCGGAGUUUCUGCACAUGUGGUAAGUGCAGGAGUCAACACCUGUUUCAGUGUUUAUUUACAGUCACAGCGUUUAACCUCACGCUUCCUACCUCGCCAGGGAGAUCAUGUCCGAGGUCAAGGCACUCAUCACUCAGAUCACAGAUGCGUUAAAGUAACGUCUGAACUUAUUCACUCUUAUUCGCUGUCUCUCUCUCUACACGUUCAUUACGCACCAGUUUCACUGACUGUGUUUAGCCUGCAGCCGAGAAGCUGACGGAAGGUGAGCUGCAUGAUGGCAGGCUGAUCGCCGAUCAGAAGAAGGAGGGGGAAGAUUGAGGAGCCGAUUUUUAUUUUGUUUUUUGUUAAAUAAAAGGUUUC